ACAUCAUAUUUUGAUAGCAGCCUCCUAUCUGGUCUUCGAGAUAGAGGAAGAUUUGGGGCAUAUUUUGAAAGUAGAGCUGACAGUACUCUGAUGGAUUGGAAAUGAAUAUGAGAGAAAGUGAGGAAGAUGCCAAGGAUGCAGUCAACAGUGACUUCAAGGUUUUAUGGUAAUCAUGGUGCUAUUUAUGGAGAUGAAGAAGGACAAGUUUGGAGAGAAAAUUCAAGAGUUUGUUUUUGAAUAUGCCUAUUAAAUGUCAAUCAGGCAGUAGGGUAUAGGAUUCUGGAGUUUUAGGGAAGAGGUGUGGGCUGUAGAUAUAAAUUUGAGAGCCAUCUGCAUACAAAAAGACAUUUAAAUAUGAGAGACUUGAUUUGAUUAACAAGGGAGAGGUGUAGGGAGGGAGAUACUGAGCACAGCACUGUUUAGACUAUGGAAGAUAGAUGAGUAGGCUCCAUUUCAGUGUAUACAGGAAUCCCUGGAGACACUUGCUAACAAUGUAGAUUCCAGGGUCCUAGUCCCAUAAAUUCCGAUUCAGGUCUAAUAUUGAGGCCUGGCAAUCUGCAUUGUCAACAAUGCAGCUUAUCCUGAAGUGGUUAAUCUGGGAAUAUCCUUUGAAAAACACUGAAAUAAACUACCAACAUCUAUGAAAACAUUUACGGGUGCUUAAAUUUCAGGAUGUUUCUUUUCUUUCUCCCCAUUUCCUCUCAUCCAUUAUGCAUGAAAGACUUCUGCAAGAUGCCAAGAGGGGAACUUGGGCUUUUUCUUUUUUCCAAUUGCCUUUUACAGAGUGAUGGAAAGUUAACUACGAACUCCUGCGGGGAAAAGAAGAGACGAUCUAGGCCUAAAAAUCGUGUCUACUCUCCAAGAGAGGUAUAUUCUCCUUUAAACACCCAAUUUGAUGCCCAGUGGUAACACUUUAUGAAGCAAGACCAAGAGCAAAGUCAACAUUUCUUUGUUCCUUAAUUAUAAGCAGCAUGUGCACCUUGCAUAUCUCAGCAAGUGAUAAACAGUCAUACUCCCCCAAAUACUGAAUGGAGGGUUGAGAAGAUUAGAUGAAAAACAAAUGCUUAACAGCCUGCUGUAGAUUUUGCUUUCCUAUCUCUCAAAAUUAAUGCUGAUUAAGCCUCUGUAAAGGGAAAAUGCCCCUCCCUGUUUAUACCAUCAUUUAUACAAGACUGAAUUCUUAUUGACAGUGAACCUGUAUUUCUAAAAUAUAUAAAUAUGAAAAUAUGUUCACUCCUAUCUAGUCUGAGAUUGUGAAUCAAAUGUUGUGUUGGUGGUAAAAUUCUACAGACAUAGUCUCCUCUUUUGCAGUUCAGUGGUUGCAAGAGGGCCUGAAGCUGCAGUAGCCAUGUGCUGUAAUAAUGAUUGCAUUGAUUAAGUGCCAAUUACUUCUGGAGACUUUUCAAAGGCCUCUGCUGCAGAGUUGAAACUAGGCUUUCUGUCUGAUAUUAGAUACAUCUCUAAUGCUAGGUGAUGGCUGGUUUGGGAUCUCUGGCAAUUACUUCUGUCAUGUACUUUAAUCAACAGCGUGCCUACUAUUAUAACAAGUCCCCACACCCACUGUGAAGCAUUACUCAGACUCUCUUUCCCUUAACCCCCACCCUGCUCACAUGAACCUGAGCUUCUGAUCCAUAGAUGAUUAAGUUGCUCUGGUGAAUCACCCUCAGUGGGAUGGGGCAGGCUUCCAACCAGAGCCAGAUCUUUACCACAACCAAGUGCUUGUCUGGAGGGAUGAUGAAUCCUACGGGCCCAGCCAGAGGUCAAAUUACCUGUCUAGCUAUUCUGCUGGGUAUCAGUCUUCUGGUAGGCAUCCUAUUUAGCACAUGCUUCCAUUAGCAAAUAUUUAGGAAGGACCUAUGCUUGCAUAUAGUUCCCCGAAAAAUUAUUUGCAACUAAGUUUUGGAUCUAAUCACCAUCAUUGGCUGAUUUUGCCACCAUCUUUGAAAUAGUUGGCAGACUGUGAUAGAACAUUGAUGGACUGAAAGUUGAGCUAAAAGAGUGACUAAGUCACCAACUUGCUGUGUGACCUUGGGCAUUUAUUUCAAAACAAGGGGAUUGUGCAAUACAUUUUCUGAGAUCCCGUCCAACUCUAGCACUCGGUGGAUUAAUUUCAUUUUUGCAGUGAGCUUCUUAUUCAUUUGCCAGAGGCAAUUGAACUAAUUCACUAGGGCUGCCAUUCAAAGUUCUUCAAACUGGGUGACUUAAGCAACAGAAAUUUAUCUUCUCACAGUUCUGGAGGCUGGGAACCCAAGAUCGAGGUAUUAGCAGAGUUGGUUCUUUCUGAGGGAAGUGAGGAAGGAAUCCAUUCCAGGCUGCUCUCCUUGGCCUGUAGAGGGCCAUCUUCAUCUUCAUAUGGUGUUCUUCCUUUGUGAGCAUCUGUCUCCAAAUUUCCCCUCUUUAUAAGGAUAGCAGGCAUAUUGGAGUAGAGAUGCCCUAAUGACCUCAUUUUAACUUGAUUACCUCUAUAAAGACCCUAUCUCCAAAUAAGGUCACAUUCUGAGGGACUGAGGGUUAGCACUUCAACAUAUGAAUACUUGGGGGACACAAUUCAACCCAUAACAAAAAGUAAGUAUUAAAUAUAGGUAAGGAAUAAAGAAUAAUGCCUUGGUAGCCUUUAAGGCUGGUAACUGACAGGGACAUGGUCAGCCAGCAAGUAAGCAUAGAUUGUCAAAUUUAUGUUGUAACUCUAAUGGCUUAAAGCUACAUUAACACUAAUUUUAUCUCCACAUAUGGAUAUUGUGUAAGAGUCAGCUCUGAAUUCUCUUCUACCUGAAAUUUUUCAGCGUCGCCCUGCUUUCCAGUGUUAUUUCAUCUGUUUUUAUAAUUGGAUGUGAAACUUCUUGAGAAAGGGUCCUAUGACUCUUUAACCAAUUAUUGUUCAAAGGAGUCCCCAAAGUGUUAAGCAGCUACACAUCUGGCAUUAAUGGAAAUAAAUGAAAGAUUUCAAUCAAUUCAAACAAGGACACUUUGGGAUGGAAUCGGGUAUCGUCAGUAAAGAAACGGACGAUAAUCCAGAAACGAUAAUCCAGAAACUGACUGGUAAGUCUCAUUUAUCAGCAAAUGUACACCCUUCUGAUCACUGAUCUCUUUUCCAGAGUCUCUCUAGCCUGGAAAUCCACUAGGUGGAGCAAAGGAUCAGGAAUUAGCUGCCCAAGAGCUCUCACAAGCAAAUAUCAACCAGUACUGCAACUAUACCUUUUCCUCUAUAAAACCUAGACAAAGGCUGGGGGAAAAUUGAGUUUCUGAAGCUGCUUGAGAUCAAAUGUUCCCUGUUCAUUAAAAUGGACAGUAGCUCAAGGAAUAAAGAAACUCAGAUUUGCUGAGCUGGACAUGAUUACUAAAUACACAGGAGGCACACCCAUCUUGGACUAUUUCCCCAUGGCUUGGCUCUCAUUACAUAUUUCCUUUCUGCUUUCAUUGGUGGCAGAUGGAAUUUGGGAUAGACUUCUUAUCCAAGCUCCUGUAUUCGAAAUAUCCUGUGCUUAGAUCAUACAUCUUUUUCCCGCCUACUCUAGGCAUCCCAAAGUUCUGGUAUCAACCUGGUUUCUAUUUAAAUAUAUUCUCUUUGAUUCCUGGCCCUUGGAUUCUAACAUUUCCUUCCUUGGAUUCCAAUCUUGUCUUUUUUUCUGCACUUAUGUGUCGGUUAGCUGAGCAGAAGCCAGGUUCUUAUUUGAGGAUUUUUAAGGUGUAAAAGGAGACUGUCCUUGUUUCCCUAUCAGUUCUUUGUCCCUUGUGCAAAGUGUACUCUGUCUGCCUUUGCAUUCAAACUGCAGUUGUUAACUGUCCUAUAUCUCAGUCAAAAUCUGCUACCAAUAGAAGGCAUGGUUCAUUACAAUCAUCAUUCCAUAACACGCAAGUCCAAACACUUGCAGAGGGAAACUUGAGGUAGGAGGUAAAUUCCAAAUCCAAAGUUAUUGUUUUUCAUGGCUAUGACUCUGUGGCAGGAUAAUCUAUUGAAAUAUUAAUUUCUUUGUCCACUUUCCGUACUUUCUCUACCCCUUUGAUCUAAGUGAGUUAGGUAGGCCCUUAGUAAUUUCUUACCUUAGAGAUAUUUUGCAGAAUGAUCUAGCUGUCUGUAGAUAAAACCUGAACUCAAUGAAGAUAGUAUUAUCAAUGUCUUUGAAGGCAGCAGGAAAAGGAAAGGAGAAAAUUUCCCAAGAAUAUAAGGAAGUUUUCAGUCUAUGGGUGAGGGUGAGUAGGACUACACAUGGCCGCAGGAGAGUACUGGACUGCAAUGGACAUGUCAGUGGUAACCAGUAUGUAUUGACAACUGGCAGGAUCUCUGCCAGGCUUUGGUGCCAUGUAAGAUUCCAGGACCUUGCAAAACCCUUGCAGUGGAGAGUCCAAAUAAUGACUGAGAUUACAAUUUCUGCCAAUCAAGCUGGAUGGGGACUCAGAGUCAGAGUUAAGUAGGUGAAAAGCAAAUGAAGAAGUGAGAUAUUUCUUGUACAUCUGAGUUUAUCUGAGUUUCCUAUUGACUGCACUCAAUUAAGAGUUCAUCAUGGAGGUCUGUGACCUCAGAGCAGUAUAGAAUGGUGGGUAAAGUAUGGUCUCUGGAAACAGGCUGCCUGGGUUCAAAUCUGAGCUCUGCUACUGAUUAGGUAUGAAUCCUUGUACAAGUUAUUCAGCCUCUCUCUACCACAGGUUUCCCCCUGUGAAGUGGGGAUGAUAAUAGUACGUAUCUUACAAGGUUGUGGUUGAAAAAUCAGUACCUGACAUAUAGCAAAAUUGAAUGUAAACUGUUAUUUCUAUAGGGUUUUUUGCAUCACUAUAACGGUUGUUGAAAUUUAAAUUAAUUUUUAAAAUACACAAUACACACAAAUGGUACAAAAGGUUUUGAAAGAGAUACAAUGAAAGAUAAAGGUGUACAACAAAAAAUUGUUCCCUAAUUUUCCUCCCCAGAUGCAACCUGUGUCACUAAUUGUAUAUUAAACAAAUGAAACUCCUUACAUAUGUUUCUGUACCUUCCCCCUCUUAACAAUACAUUGUGAAAAUUGUUCUUUGAUAGUAUUCCAUUAUAUCGAUAUAUUCUAGAUUAUUAACUUAUCGAACUAGUCUUCCUCAUGGACUGGUUUUUUACUCUUACAAAUAAUACUGCAAUAAAAUCUUUGUACCUACAUCUUUGAGCAUGUCUGGAAUAUCUGUGGGAUAAGUUCCUAAAAGUAGAAUUACUGAAUUCAAGGCUCUGUACAUUAUAAAAUCUGAUAGAUACUGUCAAAUUGCCCUCCAUACAGCAAAUUAUACUCCCGAGGCCAAGGCGGGCGGAUCAUGAGGUCAGGAGUUUAAGACAAGCCUGGCCAACAUGGUGAAACCCCAUCUCUACUGAAAAUACAAAAAUUAGUCGGGUGUG
Molecule: long non-coding RNA, 5350 nt
Filed under: Homo sapiens (human)
Lineage: Eukaryota; Metazoa; Chordata; Mammalia; Primates; Hominidae
Description: HSALNT0297702
Source: RNAcentral